GAAUAUUGGACAAUGGGCGCAAGCCUGAUCCAGCCAUACCGCGUGGGUGAAGAAGGCCUUCGGGUUGUAAAGCCCUUUUCUUGGGAAAGAAAAGCAAUCGACUAAUACUCGGUUGUUCCGACGGUACCCAAAGCAUAAGCACCGCCUAACUUCGUUCCAGCCGCCGCGGUAAUCCGAAGGGUGCAAGCGUGACUCGGAAUUACUGGGCGUAAAGCGUGCUUAGGUGGUUGUUUAAGUCUGUGGUGAAAGCCCUGGGCUCAGCCUGGGAAUGGCAGUGGAUACUGGGCAACUAGAGUGUGGUAGAGGGUAGUGGAAUUCCCGGUGUAGCAGUGAAAUGCGUAGAGAUCGGGAGGAACAUCCAUAGCGAAGGCAGCUACCUGGACCAACACUGACACUGAGGCACGAAAGCGCGGGGAGCAAACAG
Molecule: ribosomal RNA, 424 nt
Filed under: uncultured bacterium
Lineage: Bacteria
Description: partial 16S ribosomal RNA
Rfam family: Bacterial small subunit ribosomal RNA
Source: RNAcentral